AUCCUACAAUGAAAUUGGGAGGUCCUCAUUUUUGGUAUUCAAAUAUUUAUAAGGCUUUAGAUCUUUCAAACGAGGAAGUUGUUACACUUGCAAAUGCAAAAGCAUCAAUUAAAAUUAAUGCUCAAACUGUUUAUAAUGCUUAUCAAGUUGCCUUAGAGCAUGCUAGGCCAAAUAUUCCAACCCCUACUUCGUCUAGCUCAC
This 201-nucleotide long non-coding RNA is filed under the name Nicotiana benthamiana. Its description in RNAcentral is "long non-coding RNA (NBEN_LNC005594)". Lineage: Eukaryota; Viridiplantae; Streptophyta; Magnoliopsida; Solanales; Solanaceae. The record is from RNAcentral.